CCUACGGGUGGCAGCAGUGGGGAAUAUUGGGCAAUGGGCGCAAGCCUGACCCAGCAACGCCGCGUGAAGGAAGAAGGCUUUCGGGUUGUAAACUUCUUUUGUCAGGGACGAAGCAAGUGACGGUACCUGACGAAUAAGCCACGGCUAACUACGUGCCAGCAGCCGCGGGAAUACGUAGGUGGCAAGCGUUAUCCGGAUUUAUUGGGUGUAAAGGGAGUGUAGGCGGGAAUGCAAGUCAGAUGUGAAAACUAUGGGCUCAACCCAUAGCCUGCAUUUGAAACUGUAUUUCUUGAGUGCUGGAGAGGCAAUCGGAAUUCCGGGUGUAGCGGUGAAAUGCGUAGAUAUACGGAGGAACACCAGUGGCGAAGGCGGAUUGCUGGACAGUAACUGACGCUGAGGCGCGAAAGCGUGGGGAGCAAACAGGAUUAGAUACCCCUGUAGUA
RNAcentral lists this ribosomal RNA (443 nucleotides) under uncultured bacterium. RNAcentral describes it as "partial 16S ribosomal RNA". It matches the Rfam family "Bacterial small subunit ribosomal RNA", at positions 338 to 795 of the family's 1533-position model. The record is from RNAcentral.